Molecule: transfer RNA, 76 nt
Filed under: Rhodanobacter sp.
Lineage: Bacteria; Pseudomonadati; Pseudomonadota; Gammaproteobacteria; Lysobacterales; Rhodanobacteraceae
Also listed under: 3 other names
Description: tRNA-Ala
Rfam family: tRNA
About the family: Transfer RNA (tRNA) molecules are approximately 80 nucleotides in length. Their secondary structure includes four short double-helical elements and three loops (D, anti-codon, and T loops). Further hydrogen bonds mediate the characteristic L-shaped molecular structure. tRNAs have two regions of fundamental functional importance: the anti-codon, which is responsible for specific mRNA codon recognition, and the 3' end, to which the tRNAs corresponding amino acid is attached (by aminoacyl-tRNA synthetases). tRNAs cope with the degeneracy of the genetic code in two manners: having more than one tRNA (with a specific anti-codon) for a particular amino acid; and 'wobble' base-pairing, i.e. permitting non-standard base-pairing at the 3rd anti-codon position.
Source: RNAcentral
GGGGCUGUAGCUCAGCUGGGAGAGCGUCGCGUUCGCAAUGCGAAGGUCUGGGGUUCGAUCCCCCACAGCUCCACCA